This 253-nucleotide ribosomal RNA is filed under the name uncultured bacterium. RNAcentral describes it as "partial 16S ribosomal RNA". It matches the Rfam family "Bacterial small subunit ribosomal RNA", at positions 524 to 776 of the family's 1533-position model. The record is from RNAcentral.
UACGGAGGGUGCAAGCGUUGUCCGGAUUUAUUGGGCGUAAAGGGCGCGUAGGCGGCCUGGUCAGUCGGGUGUGAAAGCCCGGGGCUCAACCCCGGAACUGCACUCGAGACGGUCAGGCUGGAGUCCGGGAGAGGAGGGUGGAAUAGCCGGUGUAGCGGUGAAAUGCGUAGAUAUUGGGAGGAACACCAGUGGCGAAGGCGGCUCUCUGGACCGAUACUGACGCUGAGGCGCGAAAGCGUGGGGAGCAAACAGG